CAACUUUCAGCAAUGGAUCUCUUGGCUCUCGCAUCGAUGAAGAACGCAGCGAAAAGCGAUAUGUAAUGUGAAUUGCAGAUCUACAGUGAAUCAUUGAAUCUUUGAACGCACCUUGCGCUCCUCGGUGUUCUGAGGAGCAUGCCUGUUUGAGUGUCAGUA
Molecule: ribosomal RNA, 159 nt
Filed under: Rhizopogon sp. ER48
Lineage: Eukaryota; Fungi; Basidiomycota; Agaricomycetes; Boletales; Rhizopogonaceae
Description: 5.8S ribosomal RNA
Rfam family: 5.8S ribosomal RNA
About the family: 5.8S ribosomal RNA (5.8S rRNA) is a component of the large subunit of the eukaryotic ribosome. It is transcribed by RNA polymerase I as part of the 45S precursor that also contains 18S and 28S rRNA. Functionally, it is thought that 5.8S rRNA may be involved in ribosome translocation.
Source: RNAcentral